Molecule: long non-coding RNA, 2152 nt
Organism: Ictidomys tridecemlineatus (thirteen-lined ground squirrel)
Lineage: Eukaryota; Metazoa; Chordata; Mammalia; Rodentia; Sciuridae
Source: RefSeq, a predicted model, not a curated record
GCAGCCUGUUGGCGGCAGCUCAGGAGGAGGGACUCGAAACCUACUGUGACCUAUUGUACGAGAGGAAAGGUGAUCCGCCCCACCCUUCAUCAAUAACCCACGGGCAAAGGUAGCAGAGACCUGAAGUAGUCGGAGGAGAUGGACUUUGGGGGCGAGAUAUUUGCAAAGCAUGUAUCACUUGGAUAUCUCUUCUCUGAACAAGUCCCCAGGAGGAGAAAAAGAAUAUUUCCUGGAAGAAAUGAAAGGCUGUCAUUUGUCAAAAAGAGUCCAAUUUGCAAUAUUAUGUCAGCUUGAGGUUCUCCCUAGAGGGCCUUUCCAUGGGAUCCACCUUCUACUCAGGUAGUAAGAAGGUAGAUGUCUACUUCACAUCUUCUGCCACUUCUUAGAGGUCUUCUCAGGAGUCCAGAUCAUUUUAGACUGAACAAAAUGAAGGAGUGGACUGGAUUGGGAGGAGAUGGACCUUAGAAAACAGAUACUUUCCUAAGUAGCAGAGCCAAUGCUACUUGUGUCCUAGAGCAUUUUAUUUCCUCUUGACACUCAGGAAGGUUUCAUUUUUAAAUGAGGCCAGCUACUAGUUCACUAGUUCUAGCCAGCGAUGAGGACAGAAGUAAUGAGUGCCACUUCUUGACCAGCCCCAGAAAACUCCUGACUGCUACCUCACCUACUCAUUGCAUCCCUCAUCUACUGGCUAUCUGGACACAAAGGAAGCAGUUAAGGAUUUCAAGUUCCUAGAAAAUGGAGAAGGUCACUGGAUGGAAGAAGUAGGCCCCUGAAUCACCAUAUAGUACACUACUGAACACACAAACUGGUGUAAAUUAGAAAGAAACCAUUCUUGGGGCUGGGGAUAUAGCUCAUUUGGUAGAGUGCUUGCUUCACAUGCACAAGGCAAGGCCCUGGGUUCAAUCCCCGGCACAAAAACAACAACAAAAAAAUUCUUAUGUUAAGCUACUGAGAUUUGGGGUUGACAGCAGUUGGGCCUACCCUGGCAUUAAUCAGUGGGAUGGUAGACACAGCAACAGAUAGAAACAGAAAGUCCAUGUAGGAAAAUGAAGUACAGUAACCAUAGAUGAGACAGACAAAUAAAAAUUCAGAACCCAGAAUUCAAGGUCUCUAAGGGGAUAUCAGUAGCCAUAGACAUUGACUGAGCAUGACAAUGAGUAAUCUUGAGAUGCAAGGACUGGAGCUCUCACUGGAUUCCAACUCAGGGUGCACAGUUUGCACAGUGAAGGCAGAGAAGGCCUCUGCUCCAAAGGAAACAAUAGGAACAUUUAGAAAGGAAUUUGGUAGAGUUUUAAGCAAAGGAUAAAACAUAGUCUGGCAACUCAGGCCAGGCACAGGCAGAGGCUUGGAUUCAGGGGAGUACACAAGAACUUCUUUCCUAGCCAAGGGAUCAUAUCAGGGGAACAAAAGGAAACAGCAUGAUGAUGUGAUGUCAAUCCUCUGGGGAAGUAAUGCUCAAGAAGCAGUUGGAUAGAUUGGACAUAUAAAUGGGCAGAAAGUGGCCUUGACAACCAGAGUCACAGGACACAAUCCUUGGAGCAAAGCCAAUCAGCAAGUGUGAUCAGGAAACCAGAGCUCAAGAGAGGAAGGAAGAAAAAUAAACACCCAACAGGAAGGAUAAAGGUGAAAACUAGCGAUCCAAGUACAGUGAUGUCUUUCUGCCAGACACGGUACAUUCCUACACUUGGGAAGGCCCUGCAGAUAUUGAUGAAGGACCCCUGGCAUUCUGAAAGCCACAGACACAUACAUCUUCAAGUUUGAAAGAAGCUUUGGUGCCUGUCCUCUGAAAUGAGAGUGUUGUUCAUUUAGGAUUUAUGACACUGAGGAAGACAAUUUAUCUAAAUGACUACACAGAACAUUAAUGGGAAACUUCAGUGUUUGCAAUGCAGUGGAAGCCAGGAGACAGGAAGCUUUACGUGGGAACCCGGGCAAACCAGGUUUGCACAAACUUCCAGACUCUGUGGAUGCAGCAACCAUGGAACAAUCAUUUAGUUGGACUAUUUGUGUUGGGGGCGUGGGGGAAUGGAUAAUGAAUUGUCUUUAAAGACAAAGCAGAUAUGUUUAGUGUUCAGAGAUUUUCAAUUAAAAAUGAACAUUUCAAGUCAGGAGAGGUGGCGCAUACCUAUAAUCCCAGCAGCUCAGGAGACUGAGG